CGUCCGUUAUUAAAUUUCACCCAAAAAGCUCCUCAUCUACGUUCUAAGAAACCACUGAAAAGGAUUGCUAUCUCUGAAGUUUCUUGCUCUGUCGAUCCAAAAUCAAAUCCUUCCAACUAUGUCAUCGCAUCCAAUUACGAAACAAUUCCAGACUCAGUCAUUGACAAAAUAUUCAACAAUAAUACCGGUGAACGUGUAGUGGAACCAAAAGUGGAAAACAAGUUGGAACAUCCUGUUUCCAUCGUCUGCGAAGUCCAAGUUAAUGCAACUUUUUUUCGCCUCCCACUACACCAUCAAGUCCACCUAGUGAACCAUUCGGUAAACCAACAGCAAGUUGUGAAUCCAAUUCCUUUGGUAACAACAGUAACAAAGUGCCUAGCUGUCC
Long non-coding RNA from Aedes aegypti (yellow fever mosquito), 385 nucleotides. RefSeq lists it as uncharacterized. The transcript is spliced from 2 exons. NCBI's taxonomy places the organism in Eukaryota, Metazoa, Arthropoda, Insecta, Diptera, Culicidae. The record is from RefSeq and is a predicted model, not a curated record.